AACGAACGCUGGCGGCAGGCCUAACACAUGCAAGUCGAGCGCGCCCUUCGGGGUGAGCGGCGGACGGGUGAGUAACGCGUGGGAACGUGCCCUUUUCUACGGAAUAGCCUUGGGAAACUGAGAGUAAUACCGUAUACGCCCUUUGGGGGAAAGAUUUAUCGGAAAAGGAUCGGCCCGCGUUGGAUUAGGUAGUUGGUGGGGUAAUGGCCUACCAAGCCGACGAUCCAUAGCUGGUUUGAGAGGAUGAUCAGCCACACUGGGACUGAGACACGGCCCAGACUCCUACGGGAGGCAGCAGUGGGGAAUCUUAGACAAUGGGGGCAACCCUGAUCUAGCCAUGCCGCGUGAGUGAUGAAGGCCUUAGGGCUGUAAAGCUCUUUCAGCUGGGAAGAUAAUGACGGUACCAGCAGAAGAAGCCCCGGCUAACUCCGUG
Molecule: ribosomal RNA, 433 nt
Filed under: uncultured bacterium
Lineage: Bacteria
Description: partial 16S ribosomal RNA
Rfam family: Bacterial small subunit ribosomal RNA
Source: RNAcentral